CCUGGGUGGAGGGCCUGUAACCUGAGCCCCUCUGCCAAGGGCUGGCUUGGGCUUGGGCUUUGGCCCCAGGCCCCAGCAGUCUAACACCAACCCUGGCAACCCUAUUAAAACGGAGUUGCAAACCACUUUGAGGUCCCAACCCACAGUUUGAGAACUGCUGAUCUAGGGGGAGAAAAGCAAAGCA
This is a long non-coding RNA of Chelonia mydas (Green sea turtle), 184 nucleotides long. RefSeq lists it as uncharacterized. The record is from RefSeq and is a predicted model, not a curated record. Lineage: Eukaryota; Metazoa; Chordata; Testudines; Cheloniidae. The transcript has 3 exons.